GACGAACGCUGGCGGCGUGCCUAAUACAUGCAAGUGGGACGCAAGAGAACACGCUGUGCUUGCACACCGUGUUUUCUGGAGUCGCGAACGGGUGAGUAACGCGUAGGUAACCUGCCUAUUAGCGGGGGAUAACCAUUGGAAACGAUAGCUAAUACUGCAUAAUAUUAAUUAUUGCCUGAUGAUUGAUUGAAAGAUGCAAGCGCAUCACUAGUAGAUGGACCUGGGUUGUAUUAGCUAGUUGGUAAGGUAAGAGCUUACCAAGGCGACGAUACAUAGCCGACCUGAGAGGGUGAUCGGCCACACUGGGACUGAGACACGGCCCAGACUCCUACGGGAGGCAGCAGUAGGGAAUCUUCGGCAAUGGACGAAAGUCUGACCGAGCAACGCCGCGUGAGUGAAGAAGGUUUUCGGAUCGUAAAGCUCUGUUGUAAGUCAAGAACGUGUGUGAGAGUGGAAAGUUCACACAGUGACGGUAGCUUACCAGAAAGGGACGGCUAACUACGUGCCAGCCGCCGCGGUAA
RNAcentral lists this ribosomal RNA (521 nucleotides) under uncultured bacterium. Its description in RNAcentral is "partial 16S ribosomal RNA". It matches the Rfam family "Bacterial small subunit ribosomal RNA", at positions 28 to 523 of the family's 1533-position model. The record is from RNAcentral.